RNAcentral lists this ribosomal RNA (876 nucleotides) under uncultured organism. RNAcentral's name for it is "bacterial SSU rRNA". It matches the Rfam family "Bacterial small subunit ribosomal RNA", at positions 20 to 904 of the family's 1533-position model. The record is from RNAcentral.
UGGCUCACGAUGAACGCUAACGGCGCGCUUAACGCACGCAAGUCGAGCGAUGAGGCUCCCUUCGGGGAGUACAUCAGCGGCAGACGGGUGAGUAACACGUAGAUAACCUGCCCUCAAGACGGGGACAACCGGUGGAAACAGCGGCUAAUACCCGAUAUGCUCACAGGAUCGGGAGAUCGAGUGAGGAAAGCGCCCCUUCGGGGGAGAGUGUUUGAGGAGGGAUCUGCGGCCCAUCAGCUAGUUGGUGAGGUAACGGCUCACCAAGGCGAAGACGGGUAGGGGGUGUGAGAGCAUGGCCCCCCACAAUGGGACUGAGACACGGCCCAUACUCCUACGGGAGGCAGCAGCGGGGAAUAUUGCGUAAUGGACGGAAGUCAGACGCAGCGACGCCGCGUGGGUGAGGAAGGCCUUCGGGUUGUAAAGCCCUUUUCAGGGGAGCGAGAAAGGACGGUACCCUUGGAAUAAGCGUCGGCUAACUACGUGCCAGCAGCCGCGGUAAGACGUAGGACGCAAGCGUUAUCCGGAUUUACUGGGCGUAAAGCGCCUGUAGGCGGUCAAGUAAGUCGGAUGUGAAAGCCCCGUGCUCAACGCGGGGAAGCCAUUCGAUACUGCGUGACUAGAGAACGGCAGAGGGAAACGGAAUUUCUGGUGUAGCGGUAAAAUGCGCAGAGAUCAGAAAGAACACCGAUGGCGAAGGCAGUUUCCUAGGCCGCAUCUGACGCUGAGAGGCGAAAGCUAGGGGAGCAAACAGGAUUAGAGACCCUGGUAGUCCUAGCUGUAAACGAUGGAUGCUAGGUGUGGGCCGGAAAGGUCCGUGCCGUAGUUAACGCGAUAAGCAUCCCGCCUGGGGAGUACGGCCGCAAGGCUAAAACUCAA